Molecule: ribosomal RNA, 326 nt
Filed under: uncultured eukaryote
Lineage: Eukaryota
Description: partial 18S ribosomal RNA
Rfam family: Eukaryotic small subunit ribosomal RNA
Source: RNAcentral
CCCUUAGAUGUUCUGGGCCGCACGCGCGCUACACUGAUGCAUUCAACAAGCCUAGCCUUGACCGAGAGGUCCGGGUAAUCUUUGAAACUGCAUCGUGAUGGGGCUAGAUUAUUGCAAUUAUUAAUCCUCAACGAGGAAUGCCUAGUAAGCGUGAUUCAUCAAAUCGCGUUGAUUACGUCCCUGCCCUUUGUACACACCGCCCGUCGCUCCUACCGAUUGAAUGUGUUGGUGAGGAGCUCGGAUUGGCAGCAGUUGGUGGUUCGCCACCGGCUAUUGCUGAGAAGUCCUCCAAACCGCCCCAUUUAGAGGAAGGAGAAGUCGUAACA